UGCUGUGUCUUUGAGGCCAGCAGUACCUGAAUCAAGGAAAUAGCUGGAAAGCGUCAGUAUAAUAUUCAUCAGGCACCUUGUUUAUAAUGUUAUUUUCUGGCUCAAUUUGUCCUCACACAGCAAGACAGAAAUUAAUGACUCAGUCAUUUUACUUUGUGACACUCAUCAUCAGAGACGUGCUAAAAUAAAUAAAAAAAAUACAGGCAGUAAAAUAACAAGGGAUUUACAGCCUAAAACUUUUUCAAACUUUUGUCCCAAAAUACAAUAAAAAGCAUGUCUUACUUCUUGUUCCUAUGUAUUUUAAUUCAUUUUAUAAUUAAUAUUAAUAGCUUGAUUUCAUAGAUUCUGGUCCUGAAUAGAUGGAUAUAAUACUGAUGCUGUAUAAAUAACAAAUACUCAUUAAAAAAAAAAAAAAAAACUCGCUGAGGUGCACUGAUCCAUCUCUUUAGGGUGAAAAUAAGAGGAGGCUGGUGUUGGUUUAAGUGUCACUGAGUCUGAAAUAGCAGCUUAAAUUAGGUGAAAAAGUCAAACCCGAGUUUGCCCUUAAACUCUCAAACUAAGACGCUUGAGUGGCAGCACUACUUUUCUCACUUACUGCACGCAGCCACAGGUGAAGGCGGAGAGAUACAGCGGUGCAGCAGGGCGGUGAUGCAGCUUCUACUGAAAAACCUACAGUGAGAGGGAAUGUGAGAGAACAUGAGGCAAAAACGAAAUAAAGUAAUGUCUAAUGUUUUUAAUACAAAAUAAAUCGAAUUGGAUUGGGGGUUAUUUUAGAACAACAACGAAGAAGGAGCACUCCAGCAGCGGAGAUUGUUGUUAAAGUGAGUCAUGGCCCACGAGUGGGAGCAACGUAGACAUUCCUUCACUGGGAGUUCUUCAGGAUGAGAUAAGCCUCUCUGUGCUUCCCAGCGUCUGGUUGGGGACAGGACCUCCGUAUCAGUGGAGUUCAAUCUCACGCAACCAUGCAGUGACUAGAAAUAUCUGUGGACAGAAAGUAAAUGCCUUCCUGGAGUUUUAUCGCUCCUCUAAACUUCUUAAUAUUCCAGGUGCACUCCUCUGGAGUCUGUAGAUCAAAUGUGCCUGCAUGUGCUUUGCUAAACUGUAAAAAGAUCCAGGUUUUUCUCAUUUAUGAACCGGAGCAGUCAAAUCUCAAAUCAUCGUCACGUUUCAAAGUUCUCGUUCAGCGAUCCAAAAUGGCUGCCGUCACCAGGCGUCAGAGCUGAGCGCGACGUCGCCAUCAGUCACGAGCACAUCGCCAGCACAGCAGAGAUUUAACAAGGCCGUGGGUUCUUCAGUGGGAACAGCACAGACAGGACCACAGAUGUUCCAGGAUCCAGCUGUGACAAGAUGUUUAUUGGCUUUGACACAACGAGUGCAAUUAAGGUGUGUGUGGAAGAAAAGCACAGACACUAUAAUAACAUCAAAUAUAUUUUUGAAAUCACAGAUUUUCAAAUUUGCAUUUUGGGUGCCAUCAUUAAAAUGCCACCAGGCACAUCACUGUCAGAGAGCUACCUGACAAUAAUGCAACUUUAAGACAUAACAUAUCUCCAACCUUCAGGCUUCGGCGCCACAGCUUGGCGUUUAAUAGACUUGUGUGCCACAGCUGUCAUGUCACUCACAUAAUCCUAUAGCAAAUUAAACACACAGCUGAGAAAUGCAAUUAUUUGCUUUCUUGCCAAGCGUCAGAUGAAAAAAAAUCUACACCACUGCUAGUCUCCAGUUAAAGUUCAAGUCUGAGGACUGUUAACAGCCUCGGUACUGGAACCCGGGGGAAGCAGCCAGUCGGACCCGAACACUGUGUCCUGUUUACAAUGUGUCACUCGCACACAGAGUGAAGUUAUGCUAAUAUGGUGUCAGGUGCUGGAGGGACACCCCAGGUUUCUGCCAAAAGACCUGACAUGGAAAUGAAAACCGGCGUCGCCUCAGCGCUCCCACAGGAACAGACCCAUUAAGAUGUCAGGGCUCCUGGUGCCGGGAGCUCAUCCAGCAGCUGCCCAGGUCUCCAGUGUCAAAGAUGCAGCUCAAAGCUCCUUAACUCUGACCUUCACCUCUUCCUCCUCCUUUCAUCUGAUGUGCAAGAACAUAACAUUGGUCAGGUUUUGCCGCCACUGUAUUAAAACACAGAGGGAGUUUUUUUAACA
Molecule: long non-coding RNA, 2141 nt
Organism: Betta splendens (Siamese fighting fish)
Lineage: Eukaryota; Metazoa; Chordata; Actinopteri; Anabantiformes; Osphronemidae
Exons: 2
Source: RefSeq, a predicted model, not a curated record